AGAGUUUGAUCGUAGCUCAGGGUGAAUGCUGGCGGUGUGCCUAAGGCAUGCAAGUCGAAUGCCGACUUUCGGGUUGGCAUGGCAGACGGGUGAGUAACGCGUACGAAUCUACCCUUUUCUGAAGAAUAACCCCAAGAAAUUGGGGAUAAUGCUUCAUAGUUCCCUCCGGGGUAAAGCACGUAACUGUGCGGAAAAGGAGGAGCGUGCGUCCUAUCAGCUUGUUGGUGAGGUAAAGGCUCACCAAGGCAAACGGGUAGCUGGCUUGAGAGAGUGGUCAGCCACAAGGACACUGAAACACGGGUCCUACUCCUACGGGAGGCAGCAGCUAGGAAUCUUGCGCAAUGGGCGAAAGCCUGACGCAGCGACACCGCGUGCGGGAUGAAGGUCGAGAGAUCGUAAACCGCUAAUACCUCACAUACGUGAGGAGACAAGCACCGGCUAACUUCGUGCCAGCAGCAGCGGUAAAACGGAGGGUGCAAGCAUUACCCGGAAUUACUGGGCGUAUAGGGCCCGCAGGCGGUUUGUUAAGUUUUCGGUUAAAGCCCUCGACUCAAUCGAGGAAAGGCCGGGAUUACUGGCAAACUAGAGUGGAUCUGGAGCUACUGGAACUUGCCGUGUNAGGGUGAAAUCCAUGGAUAUGGCAAGGAACACCAAGGGCGAAGGCGGGUAGCCAAGAUCUUACUGACGCUAAAGGACUAAAGCUAGGGUAGCGAACUGGAUUAGAGACCCAGGUAGUUCUAGCCUUAAACGAUGCUCGCUAGUUGUUGGGACUCGAUUUAUCGGGGUUCGGUGACGUAGUUAACGCGUUAAGCGAGCCGCCUGGGGAGUAUGGCCGCAAGGCUAAAACUCAAACGAAUUGACGGGGAGGCGCACAACCAGUGGAUUAUGUGGUUUAAUUCGAUACAAAGCGAUGAACCUUACCUGGGCUUGACAUCUUGCUUAUGCUUUUUCGAAAGAUUUAAGCUUAGUGGCAAGACAGCUGGUGCAUGGCUGUCGUCAGCUCGUGUCGUGAGACGUUCUCUUAAGUGAGGCAACGAGCGUAACCCUUGCCGUAUGUUUUACAUGUCAUGCGGGACUGCCUCGGCUUUUCGUCGGGGAGGAAGGAGAGGAUGACGUCAAGUCAGCAUGUCGCUUAUGCUCAGGGCAACACACAUUAUACAAUGGCCUAGACAAUGGGUCGCCAAACCGCGAGGUGGAGCUAAUCUCAUCAAACUAGGUCUCAGUGGGGAUUGCAGGCUGCAACUCGCCUGCAUGAACGCGGAAUUGGUAGUAAUCGGGAGUCAGCAUAUCUCGGUGAAUACGUUCCCGCCUCUUGUACACACUGCCCGUCAACUGAGCCGAGUUGACAGCACCCGAAGAUCUAAUAUUCAUUGGAUUUAAGGUGAGGUCAGCAAGGAGCGGUAAGUCGUAACAAGG
Molecule: ribosomal RNA, 1416 nt
Filed under: uncultured organism
Description: bacterial SSU rRNA
Rfam family: Bacterial small subunit ribosomal RNA
Source: RNAcentral